RNAcentral lists this ribosomal RNA (383 nucleotides) under uncultured bacterium. RNAcentral's name for it is "bacterial SSU rRNA". It matches the Rfam family "Bacterial small subunit ribosomal RNA", at positions 30 to 414 of the family's 1533-position model. The record is from RNAcentral.
AUUGAACGCUGGCGGCAUGCCUUACACAUGCAAGUCGAACGGUAACGGGCCUUCGGGUGCCGACGAGUGGCGAACGGGUGAGUAAUGCAUCGGAACGUACCUUUCAGUGGGGGAUAACGUAGCGAAAGUUACGCUAAUACCGCAUAUUCUGUGAGCAGGAAAGCAGGGGAUCGCAAGACCUUGCGCUGAUUGAGCGGCCGAUGUCAGAUUAGCUAGUUGGUGAGGUAAAGGCUCACCAAGGCGACGAUCUGUAGCGGGUCUGAGAGGAUGAUCCGCCACACUGGAACUGAGACACGGUCCAGACUCCUACGGGAGGCAGCAGUGGGGAAUUUUGGACAAUGGGGGCGAACCCUGAUCCAGCCAUGCCGCGUGAGUGAAGAAGG